This 468-nucleotide ribosomal RNA is filed under the name uncultured bacterium. RNAcentral describes it as "partial 16S ribosomal RNA". It matches the Rfam family "Bacterial small subunit ribosomal RNA", at positions 28 to 507 of the family's 1533-position model. The record is from RNAcentral.
GACGAACGCUGGCGGCGUGCUUAACACAUGCAAGUCGAACGGAAAGGCCCUGCUUUUGUGGGGUGCUCGAGUGGCGAACGGGUGAGUAACACGCGUGUAACCUGCCCUUGACUUUGGGAUAACUUCAGGAAACUGGGGCUAAUACCGCAUAGGAGCUCCUGCUGCAUGGUGGGGGAUGGAAAGAUUCGGCGGUUGGGGCUGGACUCGCGGCUUAUCAGCUUGUUGGUGGGGUAGUGGCUUACCAAGGCUUUGACGGGUAGCCGGCCUGAGAGGGUGACCGGCCACAUGAGGACUAAGAGACGGCCCAGAAUCCUACGGGAGGCAGCAGUGGGGAAUAUUGCACAACGGGCGGAAGCCUGAUGCAGCAACGCCGCGUGCGGGAUGACGGCCUUCGGGUUGUAAACCGCUUUCGCCUGUGACGAAGCGUGAGUGACGGUAAUGGGUAAAGAAGCACCGGCUAACUACGUG